RNAcentral lists this ribosomal RNA (821 nucleotides) under uncultured bacterium. RNAcentral describes it as "bacterial SSU rRNA". It matches the Rfam family "Bacterial small subunit ribosomal RNA", at positions 61 to 857 of the family's 1533-position model. The record is from RNAcentral.
GUCGAACGCGAAAGUUCCCUUCGGGGAGCAAGUAGAGUGGCGCACGGGUGAGUAACACGUAGGUAAUCUACCUUUGGAUUGGGAAUAACACCGAGAAAUCGGUGCUAAUACCGAAUAAUGCAGCGGCACCUAAUGGUGACAGUUGUUAAAGCGGGGGAUCGCAAGACCUCGCGUCUAAAGAGGAGCCUGCGGCGGAUUAGCUAGUUGGUAAGGUAACGGCUUACCAAGGCGAUGAUCCGUAGCCGGCCUGAGAGGGCGGUCGGCCACACUGACACUGACAUACGGGUCAGACUCCUACGGGAGGCAGCAGUCUGGAAUUUUGGGCAAUGGGCGAAAGCCUGACCCAGCAACGCCGCGUGAAGGAUGAAAUCCCUCGGGAUGUAAACUUCGCAAGAACGGGAAGAAUAAGCCGGUGUUAACACCAUCGGCGAUGACGGUACUGUUUGUAAGCUCCGGCUAACUCCGUGCCAGCAGCCGCGGUAAUACGGGGGGAGCAAGCGUUGUUCGGAUUUACUGGGCGUAAAGGGCGCGUAGGCGGCCACCGCAAGUCGACUGUGAAAUCUCCGGGCUUAACUCGGAAAGGUCAGCCGAUACUGCGGGGCUAGAGUGCAGAAGGGGCAACUGGAAUUCUCGGUGUAGCGGUGAAAUGCGUAGAUAUCGAGAGGAACACCUGCGGCGAAGGCGGGUUGCUGGGCUGACACUGACGCUGAUUGUGCGAAAGCUAGGGGAGCGAACGGGAUUAGAUACCCCGGUAGUCCUAGCCUUAAACGAUGAAUGCUUGGUGUCUGGGGUUUUAUAGUCCCCGGGUGCCGUCGCUAACG